RNAcentral lists this long non-coding RNA (377 nucleotides) under Musa acuminata (dwarf banana). RNAcentral's name for it is "long non-coding RNA (MACU_LNC003744)". The record is from RNAcentral. Lineage: Eukaryota; Viridiplantae; Streptophyta; Magnoliopsida; Zingiberales; Musaceae.
CUGAGAAAUGGUUCUGUAGGAGCAUAAGCAACAACAUAAGGAAAUUGGUUCACCAGGAGCUUGGGGUACCAAGACAUGACAAUCCUUAGAAUGAAUAAGAACCCAAAAUGCCGAGAGCAAAGAGCCUGUGACUGUGAUAGCAAGUUUUGCUGUGGCAGGGUCAAUAUCUGAUAUUAAGCCCUAUAGGUAAUCUGAUAAAGCUGCAUGUAAGUACUGGGCAACAACUGGUAAAGAAGGUGGACUUCAUCUUGAUGGAUCAUAUAAGCAUAUCUGAAGCAACUGUGAGUGCUGAUCAUUGUGACAUUGAGCAUGCGAUGGAUGCUGAAUCUGCUGGCAGUAUGAUGUAGUUUGCCUCGUUUAAUGCUUAUGAUGGGCAC